GACCGCCUGGGGAGUACGGCCGCAAGGUUAAAACUCAAAUGAAUUGACGGGGGCCCGCACAAGCGGUGGAGCAUGUGGUUUAAUUCGAUGCAACGCGAAGAACCUUACCUGGUCUUGACAUCCACAGAACUUUCCAGAGAUGGAUUGGUGCCUUCGGGAACUGUGAGACAGGUGCUGCAUGGCUGUCGUCAGCUCGUGUUGUGAAAUGUUGGGUUAAGUCCCGCAACGAGCGCAACCCUUAUCCUUUGUUGCCAGCGGUUCGGCCGGGAACUCAAAGGAGACUGCCAGUGAUAAACUGGAGGAAGGUGGGGAUGACGUCAAGUCAUCAUGGCCCUUACGACCAGGGCUACACACGUGCUACAAUGGCAUAUACAAAGAGAAGCGACCUCGCGAGAGCAAGCGGACCUCAUAAAGUAUGUCGUAGUCCGGAUUGGAGUCUGCAACUCGACUCCAUGAAGUCGGAAUCGCUAGUAAUCGUAGAUCAGAAUGCUACGGUGAAUACGUUCCCGGGCCUUGUACACACCGCCCGUCACACCAUGGGAGUGGGUUGCAAAAGAAGUAGGUAGCUUAACCUUCGGGAGGGCGCUUACCACUUUGUGAUUCAUGACUGGGGUGAAGUCGUAACAAGGUAACCGUAGGGGAACCUGCGGUUGGAUCACCUCCUUACCUUAAAGAA
Molecule: ribosomal RNA, 676 nt
Filed under: Klebsiella pneumoniae
Lineage: Bacteria; Pseudomonadati; Pseudomonadota; Gammaproteobacteria; Enterobacterales; Enterobacteriaceae
Description: bacterial SSU rRNA
Rfam family: Bacterial small subunit ribosomal RNA
Source: RNAcentral